RNAcentral lists this long non-coding RNA (3870 nucleotides) under Sus scrofa (pig). RNAcentral's name for it is "lncRNA (ENSSSCG00015052102.1)". Lineage: Eukaryota; Metazoa; Chordata; Mammalia; Artiodactyla; Suidae. The record is from RNAcentral.
CAUUAGUCCACAGCGCGUGCCAGAGGAUAAAGCGAGACUACUUAGCUAAAGCCAGGAGCUUCGAAUGAUCAAGGAAGUGUUCACGCUUGAGACCCAUUUGUUAGGUCUUCAAAGGCCUUGGACCUUCCUAGACACCCGUUAGAGGAAUCAGUGCUAGUCUCUCUUCCAUCCCAAUUUUUAAAUGUACUUUGGGAUAUUUCAAAAGCAUUCCUUCUACUAUGGAAGGUUUUCCUAGGUGCAGGGAAAGUUAUAAAAGGAGAAGAAUGUUCUGGAGACACUAUUGCCAUCCCCAGACCUCUUGGCCCAUGUCCAUCUUGGCAGCAAAUAGAAGUUAUGCUAUGUGGGUGAUGCUGAAUAUAGUUCCCUGUGCUGUUCAGCAGGACCUUGUUUAUCCACUGAUAAAAUAUUUUAACUCCAGAGUGUGGAUGAGAAACCUGGCCCCACCACUCCACAGUGGAGCCUGACUGCACCAACCCUGGCGCCUAGAAGCCAGGGCUCCCUGGGGCACUGGGACUUCUCCUCAGGACACUCCUGAGACCUUCGGGUACUAACCACACCCUGCGGAGGGGACAGGACACGACGACAGAAACAGGGGCUAAGGAAGAGACAAGCAUCACACACCCCGGCAGCCCUAUUAUCUACACAAUGAAAUUACACCACGAAAUAAACAGGCGACGUACCUCAGACUCGGGGAGCCGGUCACUUGGUCAAGUUCUCAGCUCACAGGAGGCAGAGCAGGUGUCAAACGCCCAGUUCACAGCUGUUCUCACACAUUUGCUCAUGUAGUCAUUCAAAGGUCAUUGGUGAGUUUCCGUGUGUGUGCAGGUCUGUGUUCCCACCGCGGCCACUGUGAUGGGGACCCAGGUCAGAGCAGAGGCAGGAUGGGAAGGAAACCCGCCGCUCUGCCCUUGGGGCGGGAAAGAGAAAGGAGCCCUGAGCAGCUGCGAACAGCCGCAAAGGCGCCUGCGCGGCAGAGGCGCUCUGGACAGACCCCGCCCCGUGUGAGUCCAGAACCUGCAGGGGCAGCACCUGGGGGCUUCCUAACAACGCACNAAACCAUCCCCAUGGGACCCGCAGGGGAAAUGUGCUGCCACCAACUACAGACAGACCCGUGGACAGAGGGCGGAGAAGGAUGUGGGCUAAGUUAGGAAGGCUCCUUGGAGGAAGCUUCUAGCAAUGAAAGCCGGCUGCCACUUAGGACAAUAAGAUCCUUGGCCUCCAACAGCUUCUCAAACUUGGCUGCCAGGUGAAAUCACCUGUGGUUUUAAAAAAUGAUUCCUGCCCUCCAAACCCAGAAAUUAUGACUUAAUCGAGAUGAGGCUUCAGCACCGAGUUUGUUCGUUUUUUUUUUUUUUUUUUUGCACCUGGGGCCGCACCUGAGGCAUAUGGAGGUUCCCAGGCUACGGGUCUAAUCGGAGCUACAGCCACAGCACUACGCGAGAUCCGAGCUGUGUCUGCGACCUACACCACAGCUCACGUAAAGGCCAGAAUCUUGAGCCACUGAGCGAGGCCAGAGAUCAAAGCCGCAACCCCAUGGUUCCUAGUCGGAUUCGUUCCUGCUGCGCCACAACGGGAACUCCAGCAGCACCGGGAUUUUAAAGAGCUCCACCAGCAAUUUGGUUUUGCCGCCAAGUUUACAAACCACUGACCUUUGCUAUAUUUAAGACAUAAAGGAUUGUACCUGGACGAGAAAACAGAGUAAACAGCGAUCAGGUGAUUCUGCAGGACCAGGAAUGUGCGUUUCUGUGUGCCGAGGGUGAGGUAGAUGAUGAGAGUGAGGCUAGGGUCUGAGACCCCUCCUGCCCCCAGUUCGGCCUUCCUGGCCCCAAGUUCUGUCUCCUUUCCACUUGCCUCACCUGGAUGCCUGGAUUCUGCUGCCGCCUAGUGGUGGUUUUCAGUAUAGCAUGCUGUCGCUGAAGGUUUCAGAAGAGCAGAACCUUCAUCACAAACUUGAGUCCCAGGGUGUGUCUUGCUGGCUGGCAUAGCCUAGGAACUGUACACGCUGAGCAGUGUAGCAGGAACCUCAGGAGUUUCUUCUUUGCAGGGAAGCUGAGGGAGCUCCAGGUCCCUGACCAAGCACAGGGCUGACACUGGGCUGUGACUAGAGACUUCCUAUGCCUGAGAUUUGAGGAAAUUGGUCUUGUCAGUGACAAGUGCCUAUGAAUGAUAUCAAGCAUCAGGAAAAGGUGAAAGGUAACAAGCUUCAACAAUGACCAGCCACCCCUUAUUCUGCUCUGAAUCAUUGAACAGACCUGCCCCUCACACCUGUGGACACCUGUCAAGCGCAUAAAUCGAGCCCAUACUAUGUGUUUGAAUAUUUAAAGUUACAGAUCAAGCAGACAAACUGUCAAGUACACCUGUGUAACCACCUCGCGGCUGCCAUUCCUGGGCCCUGCAGCUCAAGCCACAGGUGGGACAGCAGAGGGACAGCCGCCCCCAGUCCCCGAGGGCUCUUCCCACUCUGGCUCCGACCUGCUUUGUGCCCUGAGGAAUCUGCUGCUCAGUCAAGAGCACACCCAGCCUUCAAAUCCAAGCUCAGGCCACCCUCCUCCGGCCCCAUAAACAGCUGAGACUUGACCACUUGUGGGGCUAGGAGAUGAGCCCCAGGGGGCAGGCCUGCACUAGGACUGGGAGUAGGAGUCUAGGGUUUAGGUGCUCAGUGCAUGGCCUGGGAAGAGGGGCUCCAGGUGGACACACCCCCUUGUCCUCUCUGGCUGCCUGCCCCACGGGGAGGGUACAACCAGAGGGAGACCUGAGCAGGGCCUUCAAAACCAGCACUUCUCAAACUUUAAUGUGAGCAGGACUCACCUGGGAUCUGAAGACUCUGAGGCAGCAGGUCGGGGGAGAGACCAAGAUUCCACGCCUAACAGCCUCCCCGCAAAGCCGCUGCUGCUGGUCCACAGGCCCCGCUUAGCAAAGCUCUAAGGCGGGGUGGGCGGGGGUUUCUGCAAAGGGACGCGAGGUACAUUCUCAGGCUCUGCAACACCUCAGCUCUGCUGGUGCCACACAAAUGCGGUUGCAGACAAAGUUGGUGAGCCUGGCUGUGUGUCAAUACAACCUUGUUGGUGAACAUUGAAACUUGAAUUUCAUGAUUUUUCUAUGACACAAAAUAUUCUUCUUCUGCGGAUUAUUUCAACCUUUUUAAAAUGUAAAAACUGUUCUUAACUCAUGGGCCAUAAGAAACAGGGCCAGACAAAGCCUCAAAUCUCUAAAAGAUAAGGAUGUUUUAACAUUAAGCACAAUAUCAACAUCCCACCUAAAAGCAAUUAGCAAAAAUAUUUAAUAUCAUCAAACACCCUUUAAGUGUUUUAAUCUCUAACUAUAUUAUAGAAGAUAGGUUUAACCCCAUUCUUAAAUAUAUAAUCACUGUCUAAUCUGUCCCUUUAUUCUUUACCUGUAGCUCUGGAUUCUUUCCCAGUAGCUCAGCAUCUUGCACCCUAUGUUGUCAUACUACAUUUCACCAAUAGGUGGCACUAUAACCCUGACAUUUGCUAACAGCUUGGCACCCAAGAAAAAAAUUGUAUGCAAUUUGCAAUUAUAGAUGAGUACAUGAUCACAAAAAUUGAAAAAUAGCCUGUUUCCUCUGUGUAACAUGUGAUAAACCUCAAUACAUCCCAAUUUCAAGGAAAAAAAUAUUGAUGUUAAAUAAAUUUCUUUUUUAAAAAAAGCAAACAUGAGAAGCCCACUGCUCUGUAUUGAGGUUCACUUUUGCAUUUCAAGUGUUCAGUAACUGAGGCCCUUAUAUUCUCCUGCUUAAGAUAAAAGCAAAUUGAAUCUAUUUGCACAAUUGAUCUAAAUGUCAAAUACCCAUUUCAAUUGUACCAUCUGAAUUGUAUUGUGUGCCUACCUCUGAAUAAAACAGUUUCUUUU